CAGCAGCCGCGGUAAUACGGAGGGAGCUAGCGUUAUUCGGAAUUACUGGGCGUAAAGCGCACGUAGGCGGCUUUGUAAGUAAGAGGUGAAAGCCCAGAGCUCAACUCUGGAAUUGCCUUUUAGACUGCAUCGCUUGAAUCAUGGAGAGGUCAGUGGAAUUCCGAGUGUAGAGGUGAAAUUCGUAGAUAUUCGGAAGAACACCAGUGGCGAAGGCGGCUGACUGGACAUGUAUUGACGCUGAGGUGCGAAAGCGUGGGGAGCGAACAGGAUUAGAUACCCGUGUAGUCCCUGUCUCUUAUAC
RNAcentral lists this ribosomal RNA (301 nucleotides) under uncultured bacterium. Its description in RNAcentral is "partial 16S ribosomal RNA". It matches the Rfam family "Bacterial small subunit ribosomal RNA", at positions 509 to 807 of the family's 1533-position model. The record is from RNAcentral.